CUCUGCUGUCCAGCUAAAUCUCUCCAUCGGCCAAAUACACAGAGGAGAGGACAGACAACAGAGCGAGACCAUAAAAUAUUCAUUUAUUUAUCUUUUUAACAAAUCUACAUGAUUCAUGUAGGUCACAUUUUCAUGCUGAUUAAGUAUUGUAACCAUUUAGCCAUUACUUGUUGCUAUUUCAACAGUUUAUCCAAUACUAGAUAGCAAACUGCUUCAACUUUCCUACUUGCUUAUUAAUUGUUCUCACAGACUUUCAGUCACAACAUGAAUCAAUGGUUGGGAAUCAGUGAUUUAAUCAGGAACAGUGCAUUAUAUUUUAUAAUUGCAUCAUAAAUUCUGUUUGCAAUCUCAAUCUUUGUCUGAAGAAUAAAUACUAAAGCUGUCAAAUAAAUGUGGUAGAGUAAAAAGGACGAUAUUUGAAAUGUAGUGGAGUAGAAGUAUAAAGUAGAAUGAAAUUGAAAUACUCAAAGUACCUCAAAUUUGUAUUCAAGCUGCAACAUUUGAGUAGAUAUAGUUACGUAUAUUCCACCACUACAUGCAUAUGUGUGUGUGUGUGUGUGUGUGUGUGUGUGUGUGUGUGUGCGUGUGUGUGUGUGUGUGUGUGUGUUUUUACUGCUGAUGGCACAGUGGAGGAUUUAUUUGAACAGAUGUGAACUCUCAGUGCCAGGGUGACCUCAGGUCCUACUUGGCUACACUGCAGCUGAUCUCUCCACCCUAGAAAAAUAACAUUCAGUUUAACAGAGUGACCUGGGGAAGAAAAAGCUCGCAAACACACUGGUUAAUAAGUCUUGGAAUAAGGCUACAUUUCCUCUCAGAGAGAAGUUGAAUCUCAUUGUAACCUUAUCAGUACAUGCCUUGCCGCAAUGUGGAGCACAUGUGUCAGGUUAUGUCCUUGUCUUUGUGAAAUAUCUCAGUUACAGUAACCAGGCUGUACAGUAAAACCAGAAGUUAUAUUCCUUUCAAAGUCAGAUAUGUGAGAAUGGAUUUAUACUCUCAUUGACUGAAAUGGAGGGUUUUAUACCAAAUGCACUGCACAUUAAGAGCACCGAGCAUGAGUUAGGGGAGUGCAGAGGCUGCCGACAAGAGCCAUAAAGGAGGUGAAUUUAUGUGCCGGAGUGAUACGGACAGGAGGGUCAGAGGCAGAGUGAAGUGUAGAGGGGUCGACAAGGAUGAAGAGACAGCAAUGUUUGGAGAGAGGACAGGAGAGAGUGAUGCUAAUUUAUACCUCGCUAAUUGGAAACAGCAGAGCCCUGCACCUGAACCGCAUUCUCGGCCCUGUGGCCAGCGCCGGGCCCAGGGCAACGUGGGAGGGUGAUGAGGGCCGGGGGAUGGAGAGAUGGGAAGGAGGUUAGGGUCAGUGUCAAUGGCAGCCUUGUUGUUUCUGUCCCUGCAGACAGGACAGAGGUUGGUGUGUGUGCAUGUAUAAAUGCAAGGUCUGGAUAUGCGUGUCUGAGCAGAAUUAGUGUGUAUGUUAGAGAUUUUCUUGGGGUCAUGUUGUUGUGACAGUCUCACACACACACACACACACACACACACACCAGGCCGGAGCCAGACUGAGGACCACCCUGCCUCGACAGAGAGAGAGAGAAAAGGGGGAAAAAAUCAGCUUAAUGUGGCAUGGUUUCAAUCUGACACGAUCUAACAUACAACAUGGCUGGACUUCAGCAGUCUUAGCUUCCUAGUUAAAUAAAUAUGACAGCCUCCUCAGAUAAUUACAGUGAUGUGACCAUGCUGAGUCAUAGCAUCCGUUAAUUAUUAGAUGAGCUGUGUGAAUAUGAUUCAUUUUUCAAAUCCCGGCCGCUCGUGAGUUUCUGAUGUCUGUAAUAUUUCAGUGAGUGAUGGUGUAUUCAGAUGUUGGCUGUGACUGGGGUCUGGCAUUGAGCUAGAAAAUGAAGUAAUCUUAGAAUUUAGAUUGAAAAAACAUUGACAUUGUUUGACGUGCCUCACAGGACUAUCUGCACGAUCUGUCUGCACUGCUAAAAAUCUUUUAGGCAAGUGGUUCUCAACCGGGCCUACUUUUACCACAGUGGGUACGUGAAAAGAUAGAAGAAAAAUUACGCAAAAGAAAAAAAAAUCCCACAUACUGAAUCAACUUCCAUACCUGAACACUUAAUGAUGUAGCUGUAUGUGUGAAAAGUUAGCAAGCGAGCAGUUGAGGCAGUUUGCUUCAGAUGUUUAAUUAACUUUAAAACAGUCAGCUAAAACAGUUAGCUAACAGUAACAGAUUAGUAAAAGGAAAAACAGUGAGAUCUCCCACUUAAGAACGUGCAUCAUAUUAGUCUGAAUCAAUCAAUCUAUCAAUCUGAAGAACUCUAAUGGAUAAUGAAUGUGUAAAUGAAGUAAACUUGAAAAGCUAAGAGUUAUGGAUUAGCAUUUAAAUGUUUAGCUUAAAAAGAAACUGAUAGAUUCUGAUAACGCUUAAAAGCAGUUGAUAAAUAAUGAAAAUAAUCAAAUAUAAUGCAUAAAUGAUUUCAGCAACCAAAAGAAGGAACUAAUGGAGAAACACUUGAAAUUAUUGGAUGGAUCAACAGUUGAGUAGCAACAGCUAACAAUAAUGGACAAAUGGUGACAAAGCUAAAAGUCAUAGAUAACCAUUUUAAAUAAUCUCAAAAGAAUGAUAAUUCGCUGAAAUGUUUAGCUUAAAUGCAAUAGUAUACACAGCGUGGAAAGUUAAGAAUUCAUAAAUGAUUGCGACAGCUAAAAAUAACUGCUGAUAUGGUACUGGGUGAAUGACGAUAUAGCUCACAUAGCAAAAAGUGACUGGAACGUCAAACUUCUGCUACUCCAUUUGGUAGAUUGCAAACCUGACCAAACCAACAUAAACAUUUACAGUUAAACUGUAUGAAAACUUUAAAUAAUGUUAAAUAACAUCCAUUUUAAAAUCAGUUCAAAUAGACAUAUUUGGAACAUGACCAGUGAUGAUGAAGGGCACUUCAUCUGACAGGGCUGUGGGUAUACGUCACGCUAAAAAAAAUUGGAAACUGAUUUUGGCCCUAUUUUCCUAAUACUGCUGCUGUGUGGCCCAUUGAUAAAGAAAGCCAUCAAGACAGCUCUAAGUAAGGCUGUCAUCAUUCACCCAAAGCCAGCCUUCCCAUAAUAGUCAGAAUACACAGAGUACAAAACAGAUAAAUAGAUGUGUGCCCAAAUGCCAAAUUCCUCUGAAAACAAAGGAGUGGACUCGGACAUAUGGGGAGCAUAUUGGUGGCAGGGUUCUGAUCACACACUCCUCUUUUGAGGAGAUGAGAAUACAACAAAAUUUAGAUGUGGUAGGGGCAGUUGUUUCCCUUUAAAGGCGUGUCAGUUGUCUGCCCUGCUUGAGGAUACUGGAGAGAAAAAACUUCUUUCUACUUCAUCACUCCUUGUGAUUGACAUCUCGAUAGUCUGCACACAUGAAUGAGUGUGUGUAAGCCAUUUGUGAGUCAUAGCACCAAACAUGCACACAAAAUCCUACACACUCUUCUACUGUAGUGGUUUGCACGGAGACAUUUGUCCUAUGAUAUUGCCUUUUUUCCACCUAGUAUCUGUUCUGAGGGCUGAGCUCAGAGUACACAUCAAAGCCACCACAAUCUGUCUGUUUCUCUCACGAUUUGUCUCUCACACACUCCUUCUCUCACUCUGGCCCACGCCUGUGCACAAACCAUGCACAAACCAAAACACAUUUGUGUAAGAGUAUGUUAUGGGAUGGAUUCAACAUAUUCUUUGAUCACUGUUCAUGUGACAUGACAUGACAGCACAUUCACUCCAAAGUAGAGCUCAUUGAAAUCCUUGAAUUUAACACACUUACCAUAUUUAUUUUUCUUUGACAGAUAAUAUUGUGUGAGCCUUAAAAAAUGAUGAGAUGCCUGUACAAAAAUCCCCACUUUUUGACACUACCUUAUCAUUUCCACAUUGAUUCCGCUGGCCUCUCUGGGGCAAAGUAAAGCCACUGCAGCUGCACAUCUUCAUCUUAUUUCUCCUCCAUCCUGCCUGUCAUGUUUACUUGAUGUUCUCCUCUCUCCUCUCUUUUGCAGGAUGCAUAGUUUCAAAGGGACCACAGAACAAAUCAGAGGCCCAUCCCUGUGCACCAUUGGCCUGUCUCUCAUUUCAGUUGAAGAUUGAAGGGCAAGUCUGCCCCUGGGGCGUCAGUGGGGGAUCAGGGGGCCUCAGUAGCACCCGCCGCCCCGGGGCCUCUGUGUUUCUACUGCGUGGGAGCUGGACCGUGACACACACCAAACAUCAGGCCCACCGCAAGUGCCUCUGCCUGGCGAUCUGCUGUCUGGUGCAUGCAGUCGCUGGAAAAGCACUGAAAACUUCGCCUGCAUCCCUUGUUAGCUCAAGGUCGUGUGUGAGAGGAGUGUGUGUUUUGGGUUUGGCAUCCUUUGAAAAGAUAUAACAAUAAAGGGCCCUUGAGCAGGAGUUAUUAUGUGUUUGGCUGAGCGCAGGAGCUUGUGUUGCUGUGAUGGAAGUUGGACGCUUCCCAGUGUUGUUUUGAGGUGCUUUUGGUUUGUUAGUCAUAGCUUACUGUAAAGUGUCUCCUAAGACGCUCCUAUUUCGAGAUUGUUUUGUGCACAGCAACUCUGAAGUGGUGUCACGGGGCAGCUCCUCUGGCUUUUCCUGGCGGAGGAUGUGUGGGGCUUGUGGAUCUGUGAAAACAACAGGGCAAACAGAUGAUCAAUUCCAGGUUGGCGGCACAUACCGUAUCUGUGCGAGACGUGGCUCCAAUCUUCCUACUUGUCUGUCUCCAGCUCUGGUCUCUCUAGGCCUCUAUUAAGCUCUCUCAGCUUUCAUAUGACACGGCGAUACCCAUCAGAAGCUCCAUGACAGCAUAUGGACCUGAGUGACAUUUGAUGUAUGUGGCAGGAGUGAGUGCAGUUCCUCUUUGUGUCUCCCAUUCAUGUGGUGAGGGCAGGAUUAAGACUUGAUCCAAUAGAGCAGAAGUGGAGAAGAACGAGCUCGGGUCAGAUCUGCCUUGAAUUAAGUCAGUGUUGCAGCAGGAAUAAUACAAUCACCUCCCCCAAAAACCCUGUAACAGUACUGAAGGGUAACGUAUGUGUGCAUGUGUGUAUUUGUUUGUGUGUGUGUGUUCAGAGCUUGGCCUGUGCCGAGGCUGCGACCAAACCACAGGCUGGUGUCCUUUACAGAGAAGAGGGGUCUCUGUUGAUGGUUCAAACACAGCCCACGGCCUCAGCUUCAAAAGGCCCCCAAUCAUCGCACCCACUUACAGCCAACGGCGCAUGUCACUUAAUGUGGACCACACUAUUCAUCAAUUAUGUCACUGUCCACAAGAGAACUUCCUCCGUCACAUCUGGACAGCGCUCAGCUCAGUGCGGCCCAGCGUGAGAGGGGGGUGAAAGGUGAUGUUCGUGCUGACCCGUUCACCCAGCACACCUCCACUCCAGCCGUGCCUCUCCUGUCCCCAAAAGCGGUUCGGCUGCUAAUGCAUGUGCAGCUGAUUCGACAACUGUGGAGGCCACAUCUGGAAGACAGAUGGAGUCCCAAAGCUUAUUCUCUGCCUUUGACUCUCGCUCCCUCUCCUCUCCCUCGCAUUCACUGCUUCUCACUCUCUCUUUCUCUCGUCUUCCCCUCCCUCCCUUCUCUUUUUGGGAAACAUGAGAGCUGGGCUAAUUCUCUCUCUCUCUCUCUCUCCCUCCCCCCCCCCUCUCUCCCACCCCGGCUGGACCACCCACAUUCGGAAACGCCUAGCUGUUCCUGAGGCAGAGCCGCCGGCAGUUUAGAGAGACUGGGAGAGCAACAAGAGAGAGAGAGAUGUAAGGAUGGGUUAUGACUGACGGUUUUAGCAGAGUAUCAAUUACAUCAAUGUCAAAGCCAUAACCUGCCAUUGUGUAAGGAGCAGAGACGCCUGCUAUAGUGCUCAGCUGAGUUUAUGCAGCAUGAAUCCUGUGCUGCCGCUUGUUGCAC
Long non-coding RNA from Scatophagus argus, 5898 nucleotides. RefSeq lists it as uncharacterized. NCBI's taxonomy places the organism in Eukaryota, Metazoa, Chordata, Actinopteri, Scatophagidae. The record is from RefSeq and is a predicted model, not a curated record. The transcript is spliced from 3 exons.